GACUUGGUAGCCAGCUAGUUGGUAAAGGCAGCACUUCUAGUAAAGCUCAGGUUGCUGGUUCAAAUCCUGCCCAAGUCA
This 78-nucleotide transfer RNA is filed under the name Puccinia triticina 1-1 BBBD Race 1. RNAcentral describes it as "tRNA-Thr (AGT) (tRNA-Thr-AGT-199-1)". It matches the Rfam family "tRNA". Rfam says of the family: Transfer RNA (tRNA) molecules are approximately 80 nucleotides in length. Their secondary structure includes four short double-helical elements and three loops (D, anti-codon, and T loops). The record is from RNAcentral. Lineage: Eukaryota; Fungi; Basidiomycota; Pucciniomycetes; Pucciniales; Pucciniaceae.